Molecule: ribosomal RNA, 269 nt
Filed under: uncultured prokaryote
Description: partial 16S ribosomal RNA
Rfam family: Bacterial small subunit ribosomal RNA
Source: RNAcentral
UACGUAGGUGGCAAGCGUUAUCCGGAUUUACUGGGUGUAAAGGGCGUGUAGGCGGGUUUGCAGUUGGAUGUGAAAUCCUCAGGCUUAACCUGAGAGGGUCAUCCAAAACUGCAGAUCUUGAGUACUGGAGAGGAUAGUGGAAUUCCUAGUGUAGCGGUAAAAUGCGUAGAUAUUAGGAGGAACACCAGUGGCGAAGGCGACUAUCUGGACAGUAACUGACGCUGAGGCGCGAAAGCGUGGGGAGCAAACAGGGAUUAGAUACCCCGGUA